AUCACCAUGCCUGGACUGUAUUUGUAUUUUUUAAACAUUACAGCACUUCACUGGGGACAUACCAGUAAACAGAAUACAUGUGGCUCUUAUCUUCACGGAGCUUACCUUUCAGGAGACAGGCAUGUACAGCAAAUAUUUUACAGGGUGAUGAACACAUGGGUCUUUCCUGUUUUUUUUUCCUAAAUGUUCAGUAACUUGGUGAUAUCACUUUUGUGAUUAUAAAAUUUUAAGCAGCAUAUAAAAUAUUUCAUUGUAUGUAUAAGUGUAAUUGCCCAAUGGGUUCAUCCUGCCCCCUACACAGCCAAAAUCAGUUCACCGAUACUGUGGCAUUGAAGUUAGUUGUUUAACUGACAAAAGGCCAACCACAUGGGAGAUGGAGUUAUUACCCAAAUCAGUCUCCCCAAAGGAUCAAAGAUUAAGGUUUUUAUGGACAAUUUGAUGGCCAAGGGCUAGGGAAUGGGUACUGCUGACUGAUUGGGGAUGAAAUCAUGGAGGUGUAGAAAAUGGUCCUCUUGUCCUGAAUCUGCCUCUGGGUGGGGCCACAGGAUCAGCUGAGUCAUGAGUCAGGGUCCAGGUGAGGUCCAUCGGUUGCCAGAAUGGACAUCUAAAAAUCAUCUCAAAAGACCAGUCUUAGGCUUUAUAGUGAUGUUACCUAUAGGAUCAACUGGGGAAAUCACAAAUCUUGUGACCUCUGGCCACAUGAGCCCUGAGAAUUAAAGCAUUAUAGAAAUGACAUCUACAUUUUAGCAGAGUUCAGGCCUCUUUCAUGAUCUUCAUCUUGUGGCUUUUCAUUAGUUUUACAAAGGUAGUUUUCAGUUCCUGAGCCAGGAAGGAACUGAAGUUAAACUACAGACUAAAUUCCUCUUGUGGUGAGCUUGGCCGACAUCCAGAAAUGAGUGAGGACAGCCAGCCUGUGGGGCUAGAAGCAAGAUGGAGUCAGCCAUGUUAGACUUCUCUCACUGUCAUAAGCUUUACAAAGUCAGUUUCAUAAGUAGUUGAUCAAAACAAAUCUGAAUUUGGAUACAUAGUUAUUUCUGCAUGGAUUCUUAUUCUAGUACACUGAGGGGAAAAUAAUGAAUCAGGAAAUAAACAUAGGUGCAUGGUGACUAAGAUGAUUGGACAGGCCCCAAUUUCUUGGCCAUGAUUAACGCAGGCCCCUGCACAUACUGACACUCACAAUAUCUUUAGUUUUAGUUUCUAUCUUGAAGGAAGAAGAGUUGUGAUUUUUACUGGUACGUUGUCAAAGGGAACAACUUGUACAAAUACAAAAGCAAACAGCUUUCUCUUUGAGAUCUAAGAAUAGUGCAUCAAGACUGGGGCUUUGACUAGGAGGUGGAACAUGACAAGAGAUAAAGCGGAGAAGUCAGCAGGGGCCUUGUAAAGUCAUAUUAAGACAUCUGAACUUUAUCUUGAGGGCAUUAGGUAUCCAAAUAAGUGCUUUACACAGGGAAUAGCACAAUCAUAUCUGUGUUAUAGCGAUCACUCUGGCUGUAGUGUAGAGAACAGAUCAAAGGGGCCUUGGGUGGGGCAGUGGAAACAGGUGGGUGGAGUCUAGGGGGACAAAGACUAGGUAGAAGUCUAUUAAGGUAUAUCAGGAGAAAAUUCUGGUUGCCUGAAUUAACUAUGGCAGAAGGGAUAGCCAGAGGCAGUAAGCUUCAAAAGACAUUUAAUGGGAUAGAUCAGACAUUCUGAGAGACGAAUUGGAUGUGAAGGGUAACCUGUGGUAAUGAAUUCAGAUUAACGCCUGUCCCCAAGCAGACAUGAUAGUACUACCUUUAUCUGUGAUACCAAAAUCUAAAAAUCAAAAAAUGUCUGCAAGCAAAAGUUUUUUCAUAGUUUAAUGGUAAAGCCUAAAUCAAGUUGUAUAUCAUUAAACAAUUUUUUUCAGUUGCUCGACAAAACAUUCAAUGUGUAUCAUUUUUAUUUAACCUAUUUAAUGUGACUAUUCACCUUGCUGCAAAAAUAUUAAUGUAUUUGAUGAUGAGUGACUUCCCAGACCCCUUGGAUUAUUACAUAAUAUAUGCUAUGUAUUCCGGAUUAUUAUUGAAAUUUCCAAAUCAUCUGCCACCAGGACUAUGAAUAACAGAUAGUAGACAAGGUUUGAAGUGGCUGUGGAGAAAGUGCUGAUCACAGAAUAUAUAUUUAUGGGUUGUAUUUACAAUUCAAUUGAUUUAGGAGAUUACAUGUAUUACGGUAUUAUUUUCUGAUGAACAGUUUGACCUAGGGGUGAAGUUUUUACAGAAGGGUACAAUGAGGAAAGAUAAUUGAGGAUGUUAGCAACAGUGGUUGGAGUUAUAAACAAGGAAAGAUGUGAUGGCUGGAGGUGCUUGAAGAAAGGGAGAGGAAAGAAGAUGGGCCAAGGAACUGAAUGCUUCUCUAAGCUACCUACAGAGAUCCCAGGAAUAACAGGGAGGGAGCUGUGUCAUGGUACAUUUCAGAAGUGGAGCUUUCCAUAGUAAUGGAUGACAUGGUUCAGGGUAUGGCCAUGGAAAGAAGUAGCCAGUGUGGAGUAGAGAUCAGUAUCAGUCACUAGAGAUAUGUAAUUUUAGGAACUGAGAGAAGCUCUCAUGUUGAGUGGCACUGAAAUCACCUAGGAUCACAGCUAGGAGGCAGAGUGGAGAGGAAGAUGGUGACUCAAAGUCUGAAGUCUUUCACAAAUGGGGAAGUGAACCAAAGGAAGCGAGCCAAAAGUGAACCAAAGAAAGAUGUGACACCGACAAGGAGAAAAGAUUUAGCCAGAUGGCAUAAGCCUCAAAGAGUCAGGAGCUCGUAUUUGAGGGGAGGAGGUCUUAAAGUAGCACUGGGGCAAAGGAUAGAACUACUCCUACCCUCCUGGCCGGAGAUGCUUUGCCUGAGGACCCCAAGGAAUUGAUGCCCUUAGGGGAUAUCCAAGUUUCAUUUAAGGCUAAGAGCCCUAUGAAGAGAUUCAAAGGAGUUUACAAUGAUACUGAAGUUCUGAAGGAGGAAUAGGAAUAGUUAGAAAUGGGAAAGGGAAGAAGAAUCUCAGAGUCCUGUGAGAAUAGCAGGAUGGGAGAAAAGAAGUGAAUAGAAUGGCCUCCAUGUUGGUGGGUUGGGGUGUGACAAAUUAAUAAUUAAUUUUCUGGUCACUAGUAAAUAGAGAUCGUAAAAUAAUUUUAAGAAUUAGAACUUUGGGCCAGGCGCGGUGGCUCAAGCCUAUGAUCCCAGCACUUUGGAAGGCCGAGACGGGUGGAUCAUGAGGUCAAGAGAUCGAGACCAUCCUGGUCAACAUGGUGAAACCCCGUCUCUACUAAAAAUACAAAAAAUUAGCUGGGCAUGGUGGCGCGUGCCUGUAAUCCCAGCUACUCAGGAGGCUGAGGCAGGAGAAUUGCUUGAACCCAGGAGGCGGAGGUUGCCGUGAGCCGAGAUCGUGCCAUUGCACUCCAGCCUGGGUAGCAAGAGUGAAACUCCGUCUCAAAAAAAAAAAGAGAACUUUUACUUUUCUGCCCUGUAAUUUGAGAUCUGAAGGUAGGCAUGUGGGACUAGUAUGGCAGCUCCAUAAUACCGUCAGUCACCCAGUCUCCUUGUCCUUGGUGCUGUCAUCAUCUUUAGUAUGUGCUUUUUGUCUUGUUGCCACAGAAUGGUUGUCAGAACUUCAGUUAUCACCUCUUUUUUCCAGACAUAAAGGAAGAAGAGUGAGGGCAAAAGGCAAAGAAUACCAGCUGAGCUAACACUUCCUCCCUCACCCACCUUUAAGCUUUUCCAAAAACCAGAACCGUCACCCAACACCUUCUGGUUAUGAUUUUUUUUUUUGGUUGAGAUUUAGUCGUGUGGCCACCCCUUUUUAGAAAGGAAGUGGGUAAAUGUAGUUCUGUUAGAUGGGAACAUUGCUCUGUCUAGCAGAAAUCAAGAUACUGUUAGAAGGAAGAAAGAGAGAAUGAAUGUUGGGUAGGUAAAUAGGAGUAUCUUCCCAAGGUGGUCAACAAGAAGCAUUUGUCUAGUAUACAGGUUUCCCAUAGAACUGGCCCCAUUUGAUCCCUAGUGUGGUGAUUCUUACAUGUCCUCUCCUGCUCUAGAAUAUCUGCAUCACCUGAGAACUUAUGGGAAAUGGAAUUCCGCGGCUCCACCGUAGGCCAGUUGACUCAGAAACGCUGGGGAUUCAACCCAGGAGUCUGUGCUUUAACAAGCCCUCCAGGUGCUUCUGAUGCCCAUAAAAUUUGAGAACUACUGUCCUAGUGCAGCGGUUCCCAAUCAAUGGCAUACAGUAAAAUCACUGAUAGAGUUUUUUUUUUUAAAACUACCUAAGCCCAGAGCCCUAUUAUAGAAGAUUCUGGUUAAAUAGAUCUGGGAUGAGCUUCUUGUAUCUAUAGAGUAGUGCCCCCUCAUUCAUGGUUUCACUUUCCAGGGUUUCAGUUACCUGUGGUCAGCCAUAGUCCAAAAAUAUCAAAUGGAAAAAUCCAGAAAUAAAUAAUUUAUAAGUUUUAAAUUGUAUGGUACCUUAAAGAGAAGGGUUAUAAAAAUUUUUUUAAAGUUUUAAAUUGUAUGUCGUUCUGAGUUUAUGAUGAAAUAUUACAGUAUAUUGUUAUAAUUAUGCUAUUUUAUUGUUAAUCUCUUACUGUGCCUAAUUUAUAAGUUAAACUUUAUCAUAUAUAUAUGAAGAAACAUAGUAUAGAUAGAGUUCUAUCUAUGGUUCAGUUCUAUGGUUUCAGGCAUCCACUGGGGGAACUGGAACAUAUUCCCCACUUAUAAGGGGGCCAUUCUGUAUUUCAUGCUGCAGGUGAUUCUGAUAUGCUGAUAUGGCUGAUAGUUAAACUGGCAUUUAGAAAUGACUGUCCCAGUGAGUUGAGGGCACACCAGACUUUUUUUAACUUGUAAAACAACCUAUCAACUUAGUAAACAGACAACCUACAGAAUGGGAGGAAGGUUUUGCGAACUAUGCAUCUGACAAAGGUCUAAUAUCCGGCAUUUAGAAGGAACUUAAAUUUACCAAAAUACAACAACGAAACUCCAUUAAAAAGUGGCCACAGGACAUGAACAGACAGUUCUCAAAAGAAGACAUACACCAGACUUUUUAGAAGUCAGCUUUGGUUCUGCUUUUGGGGAAAGCCUAGACCCUGUGAGCAGGCCAGCAAUGGGAUUGUUUUGCUUUCAGGACUUACUGAGAGUUGGAAACAGCAGCAGCUUCUUAACUUUGAAGGGAUCUGUAGCCAAGGGUUGUUACACUUCCAAGGGAGUUCCAGUCUCUGAAUGAGGGAAUCUUUGGCUUCUGUGGAAAGAGCCAACCAUGACCCGAUUGAUUACCCAGAUCUUUGGGGGAAGUCAGUGUUGAGGCUGCCAUUUGCCUUCCCAGGGAGGAGAAGAGGCCUGAGAUAUGUAUGCAUUUGCAUGUAUUGAAUGAAUGCUGAGGCUAACAAGGACAGAGGCGCAGGGUCUCUUGCAGCUUAAAAUAGUUAUCUUCAGGGUCAUCAAAUCUGUACUUACCAUUUAGCAUGGUCAUGCGGCUCAGAGUUGUACGGGGGACCAAGUCUUGUCUCUCCCUGUGGGUUGUGUAAGUGCUUUGAGGGCCCAGGGUUAUCAUGGACUUUUAUCUCCAGGUGCUUACAUAUUGCAGGCUUUUAGUUUGUUGAGUAAAUGCAUGGGGGAAUAUAUCAUGAAUGGGGACAGUGUACCUUCAUCUCCGCUCUCUUUUCUUUAUAUGGCUGAAAUGUCAAAUGACCUGAUGAGAGUGAGCCCCUUUCAAGUACCACAUCUCGCUAUUCCCUCUACCUGCCAGUUGCCAGAAAAGUCUACUACAGCAUCCCAAAAAUGCGAAGAAUUGUUCUGUAUCAAUUAAAAAGGCCACUUCCACCAACAUCUUUUCUCAUUGCUGUUUAUUCAAGUAAAACCUGAAAUAUGUGCAUGUGGAAAGCAGAUAGUUUGCAUGGAUUUAUUUUCUUCAUUCUCAAACCUUAUAUUUCAAAAGUCUCUAAAUUCAUCUUAAAAACAUCAUGAAAAUAUAAGAGGCAUUAAGCCAUCAAAGUGUAAUUCUUUAUGGCCCAAUUAGUAUUUCAUCAGCAUUUGCUGUUUUCUCAAGUAAAGGAAUCUUGGAUAAGGAGCAAUUUCAUGUUCCCUCCUAUAUCCCGUCAUAGUGGGGCAUAUGUUCAUUGCUAGAUCAGAGGGAGUUACAGGUUCAUAGAUCUUUCCAUUUCUCAAGUACAGUCCCAGCUGCACCCUUUCGUCAGAUGGGCGCCUUCUGAAUCUAAAAAGCAACAAGCUUAAUAACUUAAGGACUAUAUUUAAUAUUAUUUAUCCCACUUUAUAUAGGCACUUAUAAAAUAAUUCAUUGAAGACUCUAGGAUUAUUUUAGAUUAAUUUAUUUUUGAUAAAUUGGUUAAUGAAUAACUAUGGAAAAUCCAUAUAAAACAAAUAGACACAGAAUCAUUGAACUAAAAGUGACCUUAAAGGGGGCAUUUAAGAAUCUCCAGGCAUUUUAUCUCAGCACUUUUGCAUCUUCUCUGCCCAUUCCCUAGGAAAUGGUUCUCAAACAGUAGCAGAAUUCCCUGGAGGACUUUUUAAAUUAAAAAAUAUAUGUUUUUGAGACAGGGUCUCACUCUGUCAGCCAGGCUGGAAUGCAGUGACAUGAUCACAGGUCACUGCAGCCUUGACCUCCCAGACUCAAGUGAUCCCCCCUUAGCCUUCCUAGUAGCUGGGACCACAGGCAUGCACCAUCAUGCCCUGCUAAUUUUAUUUUAUUUUAUUUUACUGUAGAGACAGGGUCUCUCUGUGUUGCCCAGGCUGCUCUAGAACUUUUGGAAUCAAGUAGUCCUUCCACCUGGGCCUCUCAAAGUGUUGAGAUUACAGGCAUGAGCCACCAUGCAUGGCUAGGCUUUUUAAAAAGUACAGAUUGCUGGGCUCUACUCCAGAGUGCCUAGUUCAGUAGAUACGAGAUAGGGCCUGAGAAUUUGCAUUCUAAGAAGUUCCCAGUUAAUGCUGUUGCUGUUGGUUUAGAGUACCACACUUAGCCAUUGCUCUAAGCCAGAAAACACUGUGCACUCCCCAUUACGUCAGGUUGUUCUCUUGAUUAAUUUUUGUCAAGCUGUCAUCAGAUUUGGGAUUUCACAGACCUGAAAUAUUUAAAAAAAACAACAACAAAACUAAGCAAUAAACAAUAGUAACAAAACCCACUUUGGGAAUAGACAUAAUGAUAAACUUUUUAAAAUUUAACAAAUGAAGGCAUUAGAAAAAUUUGUUUUCCAUCAUCAUUGUUUUGUUUUAAAAGGACAUUUAAUCAUGAACAUCAUAGAAUAAUGGACUGUCUCUUCAAAUGAAUAAUUCAGCUUUGUCUGAAGCUCACUUCGUUGCUAUGGCAUGGCAAAGGCAUGAUGGUCGAAGCAGUCUGCUUUAGGUACAGGCAAAACAGAGUUGCAUCUUCUGUAGAUCAUUUUAAAACAAUAAUAGAAUCCACUAAUAGUUUGUCUGCUUUUCAUUAUCACUAUAAACAGGCAGUUCCAAACAAUGUCAGUGAGAAAAUGCCUCCCCUUCCCCAGGGUGGACGACUCCUGCCAACUCUUGGUUCAUCACUGCUUUGUGUCCUCAUUUUUCCCAUUUUGCCAAAAAGCAGUGAACUGUCAUCCUGGACCCUCACCAUCUGGUGGUUGAGAGCAACUGGGCUAAGUUACACGUGCUUAUGGAGUCUUUGAUUCUUAAUUUUAUUCAAACUUGAUAUGGAAAGCAUAUAUCACAUUUCAUAGGUCAAAGAGGAAUAUAAACUACUUGAGUCCCAAGAGUGAUGAUUUUAUCUAUGUUAGAGAAAAUUGCGCCAGCUGCUUUUGGUAAUCCCAGCACUUUGGGAGGCUGAGGCGGAAGGAUUGCUCGAGCCCAGGAGUUCAAGACCAGAUAGGGCAACACAGCAAGACCUGUCUCUAUCUUUAAACAAUUUUUUUAAAUUAUACAAAUUUUAAAAACAUAUAUGAAAAAUUUUUAAAUUGUUUAUAAUUAUUUGGAGAAAUAGAGUCUAACACAUAUAUAAGCACAAAUAUUUUUAAAAUUAUUUAUUUAACUAGAAAUAAUGGACAAAGUUAGAGAAUUCUAAUUUUCAAACGCAAAGUAAAAAGCCAGAGAUUUUUUCAUAAUAUUGAGUUCUUCACCAUAACAUGAGGAAUUAAAAAUGAUUUUUAUUUCAAAACUUAAUUUUAUCUAAUCUAUGGCUUAAUUUUAAGUUAACUACCACGUGUUAUUUUAUUUAAAUUUCAUCCUUUAAUUGAUAAGAAUAUGCAGUCAUUUCACCAGGUGGUGUUUGAAGAUGCACAUUUCUGCCAGCACAGUGGCUCACACCUAUAAUCCCAACACUUUGGGAGGCAAUCACUUGAGCCUACAAGUUUGAGACCAGCUUGGGCAACAUGGCAAGAUCCAGUCUCUAAAGAAAUACAAAAAUAAGCCAGGCAUGGUGGCACGUACCUGUAGUCUCACUGCUCCAGAGGCUGAGGCAGAAGGAUUGCUUGAGCCUAGGAGGUCAAGGUUUCCAUGAGCUAUGAUCAUGCCACUGUACUCCAGCCUGGGUGACAGAGUGAGAUUCUGUCUCAAAAAAUAAAAAGUUAUUAUCCCUAUUUGGCUGGGUGCAAUGGCUCACACCUAUAAUUCCCACACUUUGAGAGACCUGGACUCACUUGAGCCCAGGAGUUCGAGACCAGCCUGGGCAACAUAGGGAGAUAUCUCUACAAAAAAUACAAAUACAAAUAAAACAAUUAGCCAAGCAUGGUGGCAGGUGCUUAAAGUCUCAGCUAGUCAGAAGGCUGAGGUGGGAGGAUCUCUUGAGGCUGGGGGUUUAAGGCUGCAGUGAGCCAUGAUCAUGUCACUACACUCUGACCUAGGAGACAGAAUGAGACUUUGUCUCCAAAAAAAAAAGAAAAACAUGUGAAACUAAAUUGUAAUACAAAAUUAAACACCAGCAUAAGAGAAUGUUGCCAGAUAGUUAAUAUAUGAUGAAGUGUUGGAAAUAGUAAGUAUGAGAGUUUAAUGGAGAGCAGUGUGACUGGCUGAAGGGGGUCAGGGAAAUUUCACGAAUUUAAUGAAAUGGCAUCUGAAGAAUAAGGCAGAUUCUUAUACACACAGAAAAAGAACAUGGCAGGCUAGUUUUGGAGACAUUGAGUUCCUCUGGUUGAAGUGGAGGGUUCUUUGGCAGAGUAUGGGAGAUAAAUUUGGAAAUGUAAAUUAGAGCUUGAUUGUAGAGAAUUCGGAAAGCUUUCUGACGGUAAUAAUGAACACUAUGAUAAUGGUGAUACAAAUAAUAACUUUAAUUUACUAAGCAAUAUAUACCAGGUGCUGUGCUAAGUUGUUUACCUGUAUUACCUAAAAACUCUAUUGAAUAGUUUCUGUUAUCUCCAUUUUAUAUGUAAAGAUAGUGAGCCUCGCAUAGGUGAAAUGACUUGGCCAAGAUCACUUCACCAAUAAGUGGCAGAGAGCUGAAAUUUGAACCCAAGUUUGUCUAAGUCCAAAACCAAUGCUUUUAUAGGUCAUCCAAACUAGGUCAAGGAUGACAAAUGUGUUUCAAUUCAAGUGCCAACUUUUGAUUUAUUGAUAAAAUCACAACAAAAUAGAAAAAAAAAUCACCUUGAUGGAUUUCCGAUGUUUGCUGUAAAUGUGGGAUGAGAGUUUCUUGGUAUGCGUGAUACACAGUGACGACGUAGGCUCUAGAAAACUGGAAGCCAUCAGAGAUUUUUGAACAGGGCAGUGACUUGAUAAAGUAAAGUUUCCAAAGCUUUAACCAAGCAGCAGAGUUUAAGGUGAGUAGAUAAUAGGAGUAAUGGAAGCAUAUGCUCUGAUCAUCCAGUAACAAGUCUUAAGGACCUGGUGGUCUAAAAUGAGCCCAUUCAGAAAUUUUCUUCUACUUCAAGUGAUCUAUUUUGACUAUCAAGAUACAAUUCUUUGGAUAGUAGCUAUCUCCUCCACUGACCUCUAUGCUCCAUGAGAACAGUGAGCUUGUAUGUUUUGUUCAUUGCUCAAUUCCCCAGUGGGUAAGCAUUCCAUAUAUUUUUCUUAAAUCCAGUAAUAGUAAAAGCAAUAGUAGUAACAGAAAGCACUCACUUUAUGCCCAGACUGGGUUAAGUACUUUGAGUAUAGCAAAUGCACAUGGAAUCAGACUACCUGGGUUUGAAUUCUAGCUCUGCCACUUUCUAGCUAUCUAAGCAAGCUGGUUAAACUCUUCUGCCUGAAUUACCUCAUCUUUAUGGUGGGAAUAAUAAUAGUACUUAUCUCAGAGAGCAGCAGCAAGAAAUAAAUUAGGUGAUAUAUGUAAAUCAAUAAAAACAGGGAGUAUUCAAUUAAUUAUUGGUUACUAUUAUCUUUUUAAAUUAUUAUCAUCUUCACCAUUCUAUACUUAACUUGUCCAUUAGAAAAUAAGUAUAGUAGAGUCAAAGGAAAGUCUCUAACUUCUAUGGCAUGCCUGUUUUGUGUCAGACCUGUUAGGCUCUUUUAUAAAUGAUGUCCCAGCUAACUUAAAACUCCAAGUAGAAUUGCACUGCCAGAAGCUACUUAAUUAUCUUUUCACCAAACACAAAACCCACGCAAAUCUGGAUUUUUUUUUCUUUUCAACUGAUUAUAGGCUUUAACAAAUCUAGUUUCAAAAAAUGUAUUUUUUAAGGUUAAUUUAAAAAGCUUUACACUGGGGGGCUCCCAUGGGGAGGCAGGCUUCAGAUCAGGUCAUGCAGGGGCAAUGAACCCGAGGGAGGAGGCAGAUGGACAGAGGACGCAGGCAGAGGGAGGGGGUCUGCAGAGAGAAGAAGGUACUGACCAAGGUGUGGAAUGACCAUCUCUACCAAGAGGCCGUCUACCUCCCAGAGUGUCCAGACACUGGUGCACUCAUUCCCACAUGAGUGCCUGGGCUGCCACAGCCCUGAAGAAAGUGGCACCCACUCUGGCGGUCAGUGGGUCUGGCCUGGUGAAAGAAUCAUCACAGGCUUAGAGAGCUGGACAGCCUUGGGAGAGUAAGGGAGACAUCUCUUCCAGCCUCCUGCCCUCAACCUGAGUCCAGCUCUGAGCCCUGGGUCACCCAGGGCCACCCCGGACUCACUGGAAUUCCUCCACCAGUAGGUCAAGUUCUGUAGAGGUUAAGGGGGUCACAGUCCUACCAAAGCCUCAUGCAGUCAUCCUCCAUCCCCUCAAGGCCUCUUCCCUGAUCUAUUCCAUCCUGCCACUUUACUCAUCUCAUCAGCUGCCCCUGAAGCACCCUUUUGGUUUUCAUUGGGACUCAGGGCUGGUUUUGUCUUUCAAGGCCUUGGUGAAAGGCUGGCCCAGGAUUUGCAGCCACACCUCAUACAGCACCAGCUCUGCUUUCUCCCCUAGAGCGAUGGGGGUAGAAGUGGUAUCAGCCUGGGCCCUCCUAUCCUAGAAGCCCUGGGAUGGGACCCACACCCAAGCUCUAAUGCUCCCAUCCAGCAGUCAGCCAUUGGUGGUCUAAGGGCCAAUCCCUUGCUGCCUGUUUUUGAGUGGCCCAUGAGCUAAGAAUGGCUUUUACAUGUUUAAAUGGUUGAAAACCAUAACAAGUAGAAUAAUAUUUUGUGACACCUGAAGAGUAUGUGAUAUGCAAAUUUUAAUGUCCAUCAAUAAAGUUUUAUAGGAUCAUGCCAGGGUGGAGGAAAAGGCUUUUAUUCUUUUAGUGUAGCCUUUUAUGCUUGAAGAGCAAAUUAUAUUCCCUUGCAAGAAAUUCAAAGGUCAGUAGCUAGGUGCCGGCCUCAGCACCAUGCCUAUCUAUACUUGCUGCUCUUUUUUUUUUUUUUUUUUCCUUUUCCAGCUUCUCCUCUCAUCACAUAAACUCUCUUGUCUGUCACCUGGCAGUAAAAUUAAACUCAUGGAUGAUUCCCUUUUGUAGCUGAAGUUUAGAGACAAAAGCUAGCUGGCUAAUAGGAAGGAGAAUACACGUUUUAUCUAGUCAAGCAAAACAUCCCUUUGCCUGCUGUUUAUUAAAAACAAAAUCAAAAUGACAUUUCAUCACCACUGAGCAAUACUUGUCUCUAUUUUGUAGGCCUUUCCUAUGACGAUCUUUAGUUAUGUUAAUAUAGUAAGUGAGUUUGGCCAAUUAUUGAUCUUUUAUCAUAAAGGAGAAGUUAAGGGGUUAGCAAGGGCCCUUGAAAUCCAAAGAUACUAGCAACCAUUUUUCCAUUAAUUGCAACCUAUUCACCACAGUACAUCUUACCUUUUUUAUAACAAGUAUCCAGAUAGACUAGCUUGCCCUUAGACUCUUAAAUAUAUUUUUCUCAACUGUCUUUUUAUAGAGCACAAAAAUAUUUGUUAUGGGCUUAAUAUGCACACACACACACAGUAAAUUAGAGACAAUAUAUCUAUAUAUCAUAAACUAGAGACGAGUCUUGCUCUGUCACUCAUGCUAGAGUGCAGUGGUAAUGAUCAUAGCUCAAUGCAGCCGUGAACUCCUGUCUCAGGCAGUCCUCUGCUCUCAGCCUCCUGAGUAGCUGGGACUACAGGCAUGCACCACCAUGCCCAGCUGAUAAAAUAAAUAUUUUAUAAUUGAAUGACGGUGAUUCGGAGUCAUGAAGGGACCCAGAGUCAUAAAAUAUAAAGAUGUUAAAAGACUGGCUCACAUCAGAAGUAUAAAGUUCGAGUUUAGUAAGUCAAUAUGAAAGUAGUCUCCCCUUAGCCGCAGUUUUGCUUUUCAUUGGUCUCAUUUAUUCUCAAUCAUCUGUAGUUCAAAUAUAUUAAAUGGAAUAUUCCAGAAGUAAACAAUCCAUGUUUUAAAUUGCACACCAUUCUGUGUAGCAUGAUGCGAUCUCAUGCUGUUUUGCUUUGUCCCUUCUUCAUCACCAGAAGCGUGAAUACAGUACUCAAGAUGUUUUCAGAGAAGACCACAUUCACAGCAUUACUUUAAUUACAGUAUAUUGCUAUAACUCUUCUAUUUUAGUAUUAGUUACUAUUUUGAUCUCUUAACUUUGUGCCUGAUUUAUAAAUUAAACUUUAUCAUAGGUAUGUCUGUAUAAGAAAAAACAUCGUGUAUGUAGGGUUUGAUACUAUAUGUGGUUUCAGGUACCCACUGGGGGUUUGGGAUAAGGGGGGAAUAUUCUAAUAACCAAAUAUAAUCCUCUAGCAGUAGACAGAAAUGUGUAACUAAAAUAUUAACCUCUCUUAGUUAAAUAUUUAUUUUAUGUUUAUUUUAUUUUGAGAUGGCGUCCCACUCUGUUGCCCAGGCUAGAGUGCAGUGGCAAGAUUUCAGCUUCCUGCAACCUCCAUCUCCCAGGUUCAAGCAAUUCUCCUGCCUCAGCCUCCCAAGUACCUAGGACUACAGUAUGUGCCACCACACUCGGCUAUUGUUUAUAUUUUUAGCAGAGACAGGGUUUCACCAUGUUGGCCAGGCUGGUCUCAAACUCCUGACCUCAGGUGAUCUACCCACCUCAGCCUCCCAAAGUGCUAGGAUUACAGGCGUGAGCCACCGCACCCAGCCAGUUAAAUAUUACUUAAAACUAACUAAUAGAUAUGCUCACUAGAAGAGCAUUGGUCUAGAAUAUAUUGUGUGUGGGGGCAUCUUGUGAAAGAGAACAACUGAGAAAAGAUGCUUAGGACAACACAUGUAUGGGCACAUGGCUUUGACCCACAUACCAAGUAAGGGAGACAAAGUGCCCUUUUUAACCUGUGACUUUUGUGUCUCUUCACCUAACCCAGCUGGUAUUGUAUUCAUAUUACCAACCACCAACACUGUCCAGUCCCUUCAUUCUCCUGGCUCUGGAAGACUGCGGAGAAACAUGAAACCAGCUCAGUCACUGUGCUUUGCUCUCUGCAGUCUGACUCUGAACUCUUGACUUUGAUCUACUGCCUCAUUUUUCAGUCAGUGACUAAGCAGUUUUUGAGUUAAUAAGUAACUCUCAGGUGACUGAUUAAAAAUUCUAGGAGGUGACUUAGAAAGGAGUCUAAAAUAUUGUUGCACUAAUCGAAUUCAUCCUGUUUUUCAUUCACAAAAUAGUACAGCUACUAGUACUUUGGCUUUAGGGUGAAAAUUGUUAAACCCACUACUGUUCCUUGUCCUUUAGACAGUUAUGGGCCGUCCUAUUUCAACAAGAGGAAACAGAGGACUAGUCUAAAGGAAAAUAUUAGGCUCAGUGUUCUCAAGAGCACAUGUAUUGAGAAGAUUUUGCAGGUUAUGGAAAGCAUUUAAAGAAACAAGGCCAGGUGCAGUGGCUCACUCCUGUAAUACCAGCACUUGGGGAGGCCAAGGCAGGUGGAUCACUUGUCAGUAGUUCAGUUGCCGUAUUGCCUGGCCAAUAUGGCAAAACCUUGGCUCUACAAAAAUAUACAAAAAUUAGCCAGGUGUGGUGGUGUGCGCCUGUAGUCCCAGAUACUCAGGAGGCUGAGGCAAGAGAAUCGCUUAAACCCAGGAGGCGGGGUUACAGUGAGCAGAGAUGAAUCGAAACACUGCACUCCAGCCUGGGCAACAGAGCGAGACUCUGUCUCAAAAAAAAAAGAAGAAGAAAGUUGAAAGAAAUUUUGUCUUCAAAUGUCAAAUACCUCCACUGCCAUGUAGAUGCUAAUAUUGUGUAAGCAAUUUUCUGUGAGCUAAUUGUGAAAGAAGUUAUAACAGUUGCUAUACCCUUCUUACCUUGAAUCUGAACGUUAAUUUAGCCGCAAAGAUAGCAACAAGACAACAUCUCGAACGUGUCUUCUCCAUAGCAAAGUCACACUUUCUUUUAAGCAUAGAUGAAAUCUAAACUACUGUAGUCAUUAAUUUUAAAUCUCAUAUUGGGCAAAUGCUUACUUGAUAUAGUCAGGAGCUUGAUACAGUCAUGUUUUUGAUGAAUUUUAAAAGAUAGCUCUGCUGUGAAGUUUAUUUGCAUUAACUCCUUCAUACCAUUUGCUUGUGGAUUUUGUGUUUUUAUGUAUAUGGUAGGAAUAGUAACUAGCUUGUAGGGAGUCCUAGCCAUAAGCCAAGCAUUGGUCUAAGUGUUUUGUAUGCAUUAAUUGAUGACUCCAUUUACAGAUGAGUGACUGAAACAUGGAAGAGUUAAGCAACUUUCCCAAAGUCAUACAGCCAGGACAUAGCAGAACACAGCCUUGAACCCUGGCAAUCUGGGUCCAGAAUUUACACUUUCUAACCUCACUGCCUUGCUGUAUGAUCUUAAACAUGCCAAGUAUUAUUUCUCUAGAGUUCAUGAUAGGAUGGGGAGUAAGAGUAGAAAAAUUAAGAAUGGGGGAAGAUAUAAUAGGAAAUUGAGUCAGAAUAUUUGGCCUCCCUCAAAAGUAAUUAGAACGAUUAUAUAUUUACUUAUGUUUUAUCCUUUUUAACUGAUAUUUUUAUUCAUAAGCUUGUCCAACUCAGUUUUAGAUUAAAAAUAUAAAGUUAUUUAUUUCCUAAAAAAUUCUGAACUAUCAGACUGCUGCAUUGUCAGCAGCAAGAGACCUCUGGGUUCCUGAGGGGGAUGAGGGAAGGUCUGGUGCCCCUGAAAUUCCAAAGAAUUAUUCUCAUCUCACUGCACUGUGCUUACCCAUAAUAGAGGCAUAAUCAAUAUUUGUUGAAUGACCAAGUACAUAAUUAUCAUCUCUCUUUAUAAUGGUAAUGUGUCAUGUGAGGAACAAAAUCACAAAUACUUUCUCCUCUUUGUCCCCGGCGUCCUUAUACCUACUUCUGUUAAUAGAUGUGGUGUACUGUAAAGUAUUUGUUUCUAUGUAGUUCUCCCCACAGUGUGAACUUGAGGACAGGGGCCAUGUCUUACCUCUGUAUCCCAAGAAUCUUGCAUCUGGUUAUCAAUAACUUAGCUUGUCAUUGACAAACGGCUGUGGAAGGAAGGGAAGGAGUGAGGCAGAAAGGUGGACCUAGAGCUGGUACCCUUGUGUAUCUGUUUUACGUUUGUUAAAAGUUCAUUGAGUUUAAUCAUUUGAGACUUUUGAAAUAUAUUUGAAGAUGAUAUUUCUUGGAUUUGAUAUGACUCCUCUGAUUUAACCCCUGGAACGAGGCCACUGGGAUUCAAACAGUGUGUAUGUUAUAGUCUGUCCCUUAGGAAGACCGCCUGAUUUUAUUGCAAAAUUAUGUCGUACUCCAAAGGGCUUUGGAUGUACUCUUGGUGAGUCUAUCUAUAAUUAUUGAUAAAUGCAUUCAUUUUUGCUUAAUUUAUACAGAAUGCUUAUGUGAAUCACCCCAAAUCACUGUAGCAUUCUAAAUUUCCAUCUCAUGCUAUAGCUAUGGACUAGGAAGUCUGCCUUGGAAAUGAUGGGUUAUUCUUUGGAAAACCACAUAUGUAUUUAUUAUUUGAGACAAAUGUGCAGUAUGGGGUCUUUUCCCCCUCCAAUAAUAUUAAAUGCUGUGUUCUCACUUGUAGGUGGGAGCUAAACAAUGGUUACACAUAGCCAUACACAGGGAAAUAAUAGACACUGGGGACUUUAAAAGUGGUGAGGGUGGGAAGGAGAUGAAGACUGAAAAAUUGCCUGUUGAGUACAAUCUUCAGUAUUAGGGUUACAGUACGCUAGAAGCCCAAACCUCACCAUCACACAGUAUAUCUCUGUAACAGACCUACGCACAUACCCUCUGAAUCAAUACAAAUAAUAUGAAAUACUGUAUCGUCCACUUUUUACUUUCUUCUCCCAGGCCUGCUGUACUCUCAUGUUACACCUCAUUUGGCUCGCAUCUCUUGCGGUACGCACCGUGCACUCACAAUUGUGCUGGAUGCUGUUUUUGUUUCUACGGGUUAUAAAAAUUUGAUUUUCCUCCAGAAUUCUAUUUUUUGUUUUUAAAUUCAGGUCAGCAUACAUGAUGACUUCCAUCUUUAGUGUAAGCACAAUAAAGUGCUUACAAUAAAGCUUUCUUGUUUACGGGUUUUACUGACCCUGUCAUCUUGCAGAAUACAGUCUAUCUAUUAGUAAGUGAUAGCUCUCAUUCUGUCAUUACCACGGUGGUCUGAGCAAGAGUAGGGGCUGGAAUGAGGCUACAUAUGGAUUCUUGAUGGGUAGUUUUAAAAACUGUGCUUCCAUGGAAGCUUCUGAUAAUGUGUCCCCACCUCCACCCCACCUCCCACUGUGCUGCUAUAACUGGCCUUAUGACAACAAAUGAAUCUGGCAUAAGAGAGAAGAGCGCCAGAGUAAGUGAGACAGAACUGUGUGAACUGGCCAUGUCAUUGGAUUCUACCCAGUCAUAAGAGAGAAGAGCACCAGAGUAAGUGAGACAGAACUGUGUGAACUGGCCAUGUCAUUGGAUUCUACCCAGUCAUAAGAGAGAAGAGCGCCAGAGUAAGUGAGACAGAACUGUGUGAACUGGCCAUGUCAUUGGAUUCUACCCAGUCAUAAGAGAGAAGAGCACCAGAGUAAGUGAGACAGAACUGUGUGAACUGGCCAUGUCAUUGGAUUCUACCCAGUCAUAAGAGAGAAGAGCACCAGAGUAAGUGAGACAGAACUGUGUGAACUGGCCAUGUCAUUGGAUUCUACCCAGUCAUAAGAGAGAAGAGCACCAGAGUAAGUGAGACAGAACUGUGUGAACUGGCCAUGUCAUUGGAUUCUACCCAGUCAUAAGAGAGAAGAGCACCAGAGUAAGUGAGACAGAACUGUGUGAACUGGCCAUGUCAUUGGAUUCUACCUAGUCAUAAGAGAAGAGCACCAGAGUAAGUGAGACAGAACUGUGUGAACUGGCCAUGUCAUUGGAUUCUACCCAGUCAUAAGAGAGAAGAGCACCAGAGUAGGAAGGAGAAGGGAACAAAAGCAACAAACAUCUGAUCAUAUUUUGAGAGACUGGGGAGAGACCAUUUACAACCAAAACCAUCUUCAAGACAGAAGAGGCUAGAUCAUGAUGAGUCAUGAAACACAGUUUGAGGAUGAAUUUCUGGAGAGUUAUAGCCUUUAGUUAUAUUAGCAAAGACGGUAAAUAUUUUCAUAAAGAGAAGAGUCAGCACCACUCUACUCUGGCCUGAGGUAUAAUUACCUUGCAGCUUUUCAAAGGGAAUUGUUCUCAUUAGUGGGUGGCAGUCAUAGGAAUCGAGGUUUUUAUCUUUUUAGUUUUUAUUUCAUAUGUACAUAUCUAUAUAUAUUUUAGAGACAAGCUCUUGCUCUGUCACCCAGGCUAGCGUAUAAUGGCAAGAUCUUAGCCUUGACCUCCCAGGCUCAAGUGAUCCCCCAACCUCAGCCUCCCAAGUAGCUGAGACUACAGGUGUACACCACCACAGCCACUUGUUAAUUUUUUUGUAGAGACAGAGUCUUUCUGUGUUGCUUAGGCUGGUUUCGAACUUCUGGGCUCAAGUGAUCCUCCUGCCUUGACCUCCUGAAAUGCUGGGAUUACAGGCAUGAGCCACUGCACCUGGCCUUGAGGUUUUUAAAAGAGAACUCUAAAGACAUUGAGUCUCCAGAAUGAGUAAAAUAUAUAGUCAUUUUAAUGUGAUAUUUUCAUUUAGUCUUAUUUAUUUAUUUAUUUAUUUGUUUAUUUUUGAGACAGUCUCGCUCUGUUACCCAGGCUGGAGUGCAAAGGUGUAGUCUUGGCUCACUGCAACCUCCACCCUCUGGGUUCAAGCAGUUCUCCUGCCUCAGUCUCCCUAAUAGCUGGGAUUACAGGUGUGCACUACCACACCCAUCUAAUUUUUAUAUUUUUAGUAGAGACAUGGUUUUGCCAUGUUGGCUGGGCUGGUCUCGAACUCCUGACCUCAGGUGAUCUGCCCGCAUAGGCCUCCCAAAACUCUGGGAUUACAGUGUGAGCCACUGCACCCGGCUCAUUUAGUCUUAAAACAUUUCAAAUAUGUCCACCAAACCUAAGGAGAAGGUAAGCAGUAAACAGUAUCUGAAGAAGAUACUGUUAUGACUAAGUUCAACUUAAUUUUUUAACUAGACUAUGAAUAGAUUUGUGGGGGUACAUCUGCAGCCCAAGGGCUUUUGGGGCUCUGAAGCUACAACUGUAGGCAAGGAUGGAUUUUUCAUCUCCUUUCUAUCAAGGUUUGAAUGUUUCUUCUGAGUCAUUCCACCCAGAGAGCCCUAGACUUCUUUCAGUUACCGCUCCUUUCCUCACAACUGUCCACUUCUGAGCCCCAGUUUGGGGAGCUGAAAGUAAGCAGUGAUUUGGAGAGGGAGACAAAAAGGAAAAGGGAGCCCAGCAAAGGUUCAUUCAAGGCUCACCUGUGCGUCCCCUGCUAGCAGCUGCCUCUCACCAUCCCCACAGCAUAAGCUCUCUCCUCCUCACCCCAGCCCAAGUCUGCAAGGCACCAUCCCAAGGGCCUCUGUCCCAUGCCUGCUGACCUGCCAGCUCGCGCCUUCCAUAAUCUGCCUCACCCGGCACCUUCCCCAACCUGCCCAACUAGCACCAUUGAUCUCUUUAUUGCUUAUUUUAAAGCAGCCUUUGCAACCGUAGUUUUCAUUCAGCCAUUCGGACAACCAUGCUAAAGCAACCCUAGUGCAGAGGCCAUUGGCUAUAAGCAGAACAGGCGCAGAAUAAAAAUGUCGGGCCCUUUUUUCAAAAUUCAUUAAGAAUUUCAAGACAGCAACAGCAGAGCAUUAAACCAAGCACAGGGCUCUUCUAGGCAUGUGGCCCCGUGCAUAGGCUGCAGGCUCAUGAAGCCGGUCUUGGCUGUAAGAGGCCCAAGUGAGUUGAAGGUUGGUCAUCUAAAUACACUGAUAUAUUUAAAACUCAAUAUCAUAUUAUUGGAACACUAACAAAAUUGUACUUCAAUCAAACUGACUAGAUUUUACCUGAAAAUCUAGUAUAAUAACACAGGCCCACAUAUGUGACUUUGGUGUUGGAACUCCACAACAGUGGGAUAGAUUCUCUAAGUGUUCAAGCACAUCUGUACUCUUUAUUUAAAACAAAAUAUAACUCCACAGGCAUUUCUGAUAAUCAGCGUUAAAAACCACUGGAAAAUAGAUGCCUCCAUUCCACCUCUAAAGUGUCUGAUACACAAAUUAAAGAAUAUAACAACCUUCACAAAACUAUUGGGAAGGAAAUGAGAUUUAUGUAUGAAAUUAGACUAUGCACUAUAAAGUAGUAAAUAAAUGUAAAUUACUGAUAGUGAUAAAGACAGAACAAGCCUUCAAAUUAAUCUUAUAGGUAGUCAAGUAUCAUUACCUGUUGGAUGUGUUGAAGAUGUUAAAUGAAUGGCAGGAGGGGAAGGAGUGGUAUCGAUGAGGAUAGUUUAGACCAUGUAAGAUGUUUAGAAGUACAAAAGCAAAAAUUUCAUGAGGACCUCAUGUGUUUGGACACUGUCCCUUGGCCCCCCACCCCCACCCCACCCUACCAGUUCAUAGUCCGGUGCUGGGUACAUAGUAGCUGGCUCAGGAGAAAUUUGCAAAUGAAAGAAAAGAAAGGCCUGCUUUAGGCAAAGGUUUCAAAGGUUUAUGGUAGGCUUGGACUUCUCCAUCUAUAUGUUUCGUUUUCUGCAGUACAACCUGAGUUGUACUAAACUAUUCUACUAUUCUCUUGCUAUCUAGAGGCUGCAAUGCAGGCUCAUCAGAGCCUCCCCAAGACCUAAUCUUUACCUGCUGGUUAUUUCAAAACCCCUGCUCCUUAUCAAAAGGAAUGGAUCCUAUGUCCUAUUCCUGCAAGACUGUUGCAUGCUCUUCCUUUAGUUGUUAAGUAACAUUGAAUUCUUAUAACAAGUUACGGGCACAAAAGGGCCACCUUUCAUAGAUAAUGUUUCAUUCACAGGAAUGUAAUAGUUGAUCCUUGAAACACGCCAAAAGACAUACCCAGUAAUGACUAUUUCAGGCACUGUGGCUGGCUGAAUAUGUGAGUUUUAAAUUAACCUGGGCUGUAUAGGGUCGACACUAAGGGGAAAUAUAUGUGUUUCUGUGGAAAAGACAGCCCUUACAGGCUGCCUAUGAGACUCCCGAUUUUAUGAAAUCCAAGUUUUUUCAAGGCUUUAUGAUAGAGCUAGCUACAGAUAGUGUGUUACAGUUUUAUUACAAUGUGGGCAUUCUCUUAGGGCAUAGGUUCCCUCUGUGACUAAAUGAGAGUUGGAUUCCAUAGUCAGUAAGAGUCAACACCUUGAUAAGAUACUUAAUCCCUCAGAAAGGACUGAUGCUGAAAGUCCUUGGAGAAAAAUGGAGAAUUAAAGCUUAAACCAAGAUACCCGCCUUGUUUCCAGGCUCUUUGUUUCACAUGAGUAGGAUAUGGGUGCUAAUUGGAACCAUCAGUUGGAAGAAUAACAGGCUUAUCUAUUUCUUGAUCAACGUUCCCAAAGUAGAGCCCAGAGGACUAAAGAUAACAUGUCUGGUUAACACUAGCCCCCUCUGAAAGAAGAAAAGAGAAAGUCAUGUUUUCUCAGUUGAAUUUGAAACCAAGAUCACUUUACUCACUCAAUUAACACUGCUCUUGACUGUUCCUGGGAUAGUUUCCCUCUGUAUUCAUAAGGUCCCUUAGUCCUAGAUUUCCAAGGUAACGUCAUUUGGUUCUCCUCUGUGAGCCAAAUAUACACAGAUAUCAAAGUGUUACUAAUCCUUUAAGAAGCUAGGAGUUUAAGCUACUACUGAGCUUUCAAAGAUUCUGAUAACUGAACUUUUGUUUCUGACCAAUGAUAACAUUUUUAAUUUGGAGUUAGAACCGUUCCCUCUGCUAUUAGGUGCAGCUGGAGCAGACAGGGCAUGUUGUUGUUCCAAAGUAGAUAGGUUCUGGUAAUGCUGUUUUUGGUUAGUUUUUUUGUUUGUUUUUCAAGACUGAGUCUCUCACUCUGUUACCCAGGCUUACUGAAGCCUUGAAUCUCCUGGGCUCAAGCUGUCCUCCCACCUCAGACCUCCAAGUACCUGAGAUCACAGGCAUGCACCACCAUGUCCGGCUACUUUGUUUUUGCAGAGACAGGGUCUCCUUAUGUUGUCUAGGGUGAUCUUGAACUCCUGGGCUCAAGUGAUCUCCAACCUUGAUCUCUCAAAAGUGCUAGGAUUACAGGCAUGAGCCACUGUGCCUGGCCAAUGCUAUACUUUAAAGCAUUCAAGCAGAGUCCUAAAUUUUAGUCAACCCUUUAUCACUUCCAUGCUUUUUAUCAUAUUUACCACCUGAAAUUUUACUAUUUUUCUUUAAAUUCGUUCAAUGCUAUAUUUGAACAAAUUUAUUUUACUGCCAUAAAUGGAAAACUAUUUUUAAAUUACUUUGAUUUAAACUAGUUGUUUUACUACUUAUCCUUAAUUGAGGGUAAUAAAAUAAAUACAAUGAAAACAAGUUUAAAAAAUCCUAGCUAGGUAAUAUCUCAUGGCAAAGCCUCUGAGCCCAAGGUCUGUCCCCUUUUAUUCGCAAGGGAAAUUAACCAGGGUUGAGGACGUACUAACUCGGUGUUUUUUUCCUUUGGAGAAUAUGAAGGGUUGAAAAGAGAAUCCUUUUUCUCUUCAGUAACUAUUUAAAUGCUUUUUUUUUUUUUGAGACGGAGUUUAGCUCUUGUUACCCAGGCUGGAGUGCAAUGGCGCGAUCUCGGCUCACCACAACCUGCGCCUCCUGGGUUCAAGCAAUUCUCCUGCCUCAGCCUCCCGAGUAGCCAGGAUUACAGGCACGCACCACCACGCCCAGCUAAUUUUUUGGAUUUUGAGUAGAGACGGGGUUUCACCAUGUUGACCAGGAUGAUCAACCUCGUGAUCCACCCGCCUCGGCCUCCCAAACUGCUGGGAUUACAGGCUUGAGCCACCGCGCCUGGCCCUUAAAUGCUUUUCAUUCCAAGCAGUAGUCAGCCUAGCUUUGAAAAAACUCAGUCCCUUCACAUUCUCAGUAAGGAAGUAUUUGACGGGACUUGAGUGAAAACCCUUUUCUUGGAUGUAAGAACACCCCAAGGGAGACAGACGACACUGUCCCUACACCCAAGAAAUAUGUCAUCUACUAAGGGUCGGGAUAAACUGAUUAAAAAGAAAUAAUUUAUUGAAGAGUGUGAGAAAUAUGCAAGUACUUAAUACUAGAACCUGAGCAGCAGAGGAAAGAAGGUGGAGUUUUGUCUGUUUUGUUCACUGAUGGAUCUAUCCCUAGCUGUUAGAAGAGUACUUGGUAUAUGGUAGGGGUCUGCUGAGUCUAAGAACACAAACCACAUUCCCUGGUCUCCUAGUGGUGACACAGCGCUAAAGAUCAGGAGUGGGAAAUAGAUUGGCACAAUCAGGAGAAAUAAAGAGGUAAAAUUUGGAGAGAAUCUUGGAGGAAGUUAACAUGCAGACACACACAGUGGCUUAGAACAGAGGGUACACGGUACAUAUGAAAACAGGUUAAGGGAGUCACCAAGAUCAUGACCUUACAGCAGCCUUAAAAAUGCAAACUACCCUCCAAUUUGAAUGAAUGCUCCUCUUUCCUCAGACCUAAAGCCCCAUUCCCCCUCUUAUUCACAAGCAUCACAAAUUUAUGACUCACAUACACCUUACAAAAUGAGCUGACAUUUCUGCAAGACAGACUUCUAUUUCCAUAAAUGUGGGUUCGUUUUUGAGAAACCCAGUUUCAUGUAAUUAUGUUAGUUUAUUUUUCUGUCACUUCAACUACUGAAAUCUCCUAAAGACUUCAACUAUUAAAGGUAAGCAGUUACGCCAUUUCUCAUAGUUCCCUCGCUAUUUUUUUGGUUAAGUGGAGUCAUUGUUCCUCUGGUACUAAUGUCACACAAUUUGUUGCUCUAGAAAUAGCAAAACAAGAGAAAUAGAUUAGUGUGAUUAUAAAUAUGGAGCAACAGGUGGGAACAGAAGCUGUUUCUGGUAUUUCUCACCAAAAGUGCCAUGGCCUCUUGAGUCUGUCUCUCUGUAGAAGGCAGCAGUGCAACGUCAAGGAUGUGUCCGAGCUCUGGCUGCGCAGACUUUGUGAAAGGUUUCCAUUUCAGAAAUACUAUGUUCUGAUUUUAGUAUGGGUAUUUCUCAUGUUGGUUAAGUGGUACCAAAUCUUCAGUUAAUUAUACCUGGAAGAUGUUUUUUGGAAAGCUGAUUUUUAUCUUCUUUCACACUAUAGCUAAUUUUUAAAUACAGCGAAGUAAGGACUUAGGCCAAUCCCUGAAUCAAAAAGCAAGGUCUGAACCUUCUUAAUUUACUGAACCUCAACCUAACCUCAUUUCUUAAAAAUCGAAGUGGUAACUUUUCAACAGACAUGUCUUUGAAGCAACAGCAGGAACCAACUUUUCUAAACUGAGUGAAGUAGCACUGCGAAAUAUUUUAAAAAUGGAACUUCAGAUGGAGCUUCGCUGAUUCUCUGCAUCUGAUUAACUUCGUGUCUUUGGGAGAGGGUGUGUCUUGGUAUUCCAGUGUCUGGAGUCCUGACCAACCUCGAGUCUCUGUUAAGUGGAAAAAGCCAAAUUUGUCUGAACUAAAUAAAUUGUGUGUUUGUCUUUCA
Molecule: non-coding RNA, 24160 nt
Organism: Callithrix jacchus (white-tufted-ear marmoset)
Lineage: Eukaryota; Metazoa; Chordata; Mammalia; Primates; Cebidae
Source: RefSeq, a predicted model, not a curated record